GAGCCCCACACGAGGCACCAAUACCCUCAGAUCCUGUAACCAAUCCUUCAAACCUCUAACAAUCUCAUCCAUCCACACAUCAUUUCCGCCAUCAGAAAGAUGCAUACUAUCAGCCCGAAACAGGGCUCUAUCACUGAAGGUAAUACCAGGGUGGUGAAUCACUAUGCCACCCAGCACCAACACCUUGUUUGACACCUCAGGGUCAACAUGCUUCCUGGUUGUGUUGGUGGCAGCUGGGCAUGAACAAUUGUGCCAAACCUGACGCACCAGGAACUGUGACCAAAAUAUUGUGGUAUCUGGGAGCACUGCUGCCAGCUCCUCCAAGUCCUUCUUAAUGCAAGUCCUCAAGUCCAUGCCCUUCAGCAGUGGCAAGUCAUUUUCACCCAGCUGCACAACCAGAAGGCGGGCCCCAAGUGGUCACCUGAGCCUUCACCAGUGGUAAAACUUCUUUCCAGUGCAUCCCACAUCUGGACACCCAGGAAACCUUGACUUGAGCAGGUAAGCCGAGCUGGCACCCAAAGCCAGUCUCCACUGCUCGCACACUGGCCCAGUGCACGAUGCUGUGACCCACGAUCCACACAUGCAACUCUGGCAACACUGAAAAAAAGGAAAAGACAAAAUAUGUUAGGAGGUGGACAACAUGCUACUUGCUUUUCUGGAUGUAUCCCUUAUAGGCAUUGGACUUCCACCAGCCCAAGUUUUUUAUCCUGUCCACUGAAAGGCCCCAAUGAACUGCCGUAAUAGCGGCGCCAAUCCUGAAAGAAUGGGCAGCAAAUUCCAAUGCUGGCAAGCCACAGGCCCCCUUACCCCUUUGGUCCAUUUUGGACCGACUAUCCUGGACCACCAAUUCCGCCUCUCCCAAAGAUAUGUCCUCUAAGUGCAGACCCAUAGGAACUCCCCCACAGACCUCCUCAAAAACAACCUCACCCAUUCUAUUGCGAUAGAAUAAUUGGAAGAGAACAACCGUGCCUCAUACCGGGACCAGCAAACAGAUCUUAGCUUUUUGUGAAUUUUACAUAAUAGGUCAAAGGUGACAGGCCUGCGGCCAACACCAGAAGAUGGUUGAAGUCUACGCCAGCCCUCCAGAGCCUUCCGGAGCACAAAAGCUGCACACAGAUCAUGGGCAAACAGGGGUUUGCUAAAAAAAGAAAUGGCAGCAGACUGGAUUUUAAGAGUCUUAGCUGCAUGCCAAAGCUAAUAUAAGUGUGCUAUGUAUUGUGAAACCUGAUCUGUAGAAGAGGGUUGAUCUACAGCAAUAGAUAAAUUCUGCACACGGAACGUUAUAAAAUCAGCCCAGGUUUUCUUGUAAGAUUUAAAUGUGGAGGGGGCCAAGGAAGAGACUACUCCCUGCAUAACUAUGCACUUCCAAGGCUCCAUAGGUACACCAGAAAAGGCUCCGGCAACUGCUGUGCAUCCAGUGCCAAAGAUCUGAAGUGGUCCAUGUGAAAGGGAGACAGAGAAGCCAGGUGAAUCCCCAGAAAUGUGCCACCACCUUUUAUAUGCCCCCACAAUCACACCACCAAUCUCUGAUUGGCCAAUAGGCCAUGGUGUGAUUGUGGGGCCAUUGUGUGGGCUGGGCUCAAUCUCCCACCUCCUCAAGGAUAGUAGAGGGGACACACCUUGGGCCUGCAUGCAAGGCAGACCCUCAGUUAGGAAGAACCCAUUUAUCUAGCAAUAAGCCAAAAUGAAUUCAGUCGAGCUUAUUUUGAGCAAACAUUAUUUCGAUUGCAGAAAAAAGUGACCAGAUCAGAUUAAUUUUAUUUCUAUCAAAUCAUCAGAUUACCACACAUCAUAUAUAUAUAUAUAUAUAUAUAUAUAUAUAUAUAUGAAAAAAGUAUUUGAUCCCCUGCUAAAUUUAAUGGUAGGUUUAUUGUAGCUGUGAGAGACAGAAUAACAACAAGUAAACCCCCAGAAACCCAGAAGACAAAAGUCAGAGAUUGAUUGACUUUUUAAAUACCAUAAUCAACUCAUCGUGGAAUAUGUGCAUAUACAUAUACAUAUCUACACACACACACACACACACACACACACACAAAUAUACAUGCCGAUACACACAUGCAUGCAUAUAUACAUAAAUACACACAUACAUACACAUGGAACCAAGCAAUUCCUUGCCGUGCCUAUGUGGCUACAUAAUUUGUUCCAGAUAUAUAAGGUAUUUUGCAAACAUGAAGUUCAUCUAGUCCAACCCCCUGCAAUGUGGGAUUAUGUUGUUGCCCCCUGCAGGAGAUGAACCUGCAAACUUGGCAUUAUCAGCACACUGCUCUAACCACUGAACCAUCCACAGUCUUCAUGAGCUAACUUUAUGGUUGAUACCCUUACAGUGUAGGGAAGUGUUGCUGCCCCCUGAAGGAAAUGAACCUGCAAACCUGGCAUCAUGGGCAUAGAAUUGAGAGUAUAUGACACACAGGGUUUUCUCGGAUGAAGAGCUGCAACAACGUGACUAAAGUAAAGAGCUGUGGGAGCUUUAAGGCUGCCACACUUUGCUCUCUGGGAAGAAGGGCGGCUCAUACUUGCCUCAGACACAUGGGCCAAUGACCCCCUCAAAAUGGCAUUGGUGUGAGAAUGGGAUAGUGACACAGAAAGGGAAGGAUACUGGAUGCGCUUCUUCCCACAGAAGCGGCAUAUGGAGGAAGAAGGUGGCAACAGCCGUGGCUAAGCGAAGAUCACAGGUAAAAUACUCAAAAAGGCUGCAUCGCUCUGGCAAGGCACCACAAGGGGGAUCCUUCAAUGAGGCCUCUAGAUGGUUGAUGCUGGCUAGGGAGGCACUGGCAGUGGGCCGAAAACGGGUGUUCCUAACUGGUGCUCCAAAGGACCGAUGCCUCCACAGGUGGGCUAAAGAUCAAGAAGGGAUCUAGAUCUGAUGCUCCUGAUGCUCCUGAUGCUCUGGGCCAACUGUGCUGCCAGUGUCAGCUCUGGGACCCUUUUAUGCUUCUGGAGCAGGCUGCUGCAGAUAGGCGGAAUGUGAAUCGGGUUUGGUGGGAACCAUUAAGUACUGUGGCGGCCAGGACAGCCGAGCAACGGUUGGCAGAACAGUGUGACUUCAGGAGGACGAGGAAGUCGUGCCCUGUGCUGCAAACACCGCCCACUUCAGGACCAUGUGAGCAUCUAUUUUCAUAUAACAUGCACUAAAUUUAAAAUAUACUUUCCCAAGCUCUAUUCUUUGCAAUAGGCCCAAUACACAUCUUUUUACGAAGCACUAUUACUAUUUUUAAUAAUAAAUGCAUUUUUAUUCACUCUUAACCUGAGUACAUUCUGAACAACAGGAGAUGGGCUGGAAGAGGAGGGCAUCACUCAAAAGU
Molecule: non-coding RNA, 3302 nt
Organism: Podarcis lilfordi (Lilford's wall lizard)
Lineage: Eukaryota; Metazoa; Chordata; Lepidosauria; Squamata; Lacertidae
Source: the annotation of a GenBank genome assembly